RNAcentral lists this ribosomal RNA (663 nucleotides) under uncultured Atopobium sp. RNAcentral's name for it is "bacterial SSU rRNA". It matches the Rfam family "Bacterial small subunit ribosomal RNA", at positions 8 to 682 of the family's 1533-position model. Lineage: Bacteria; Bacillati; Actinomycetota; Coriobacteriia; Coriobacteriales; Atopobiaceae. The record is from RNAcentral.
AGAGUUUGAUCCUGGCUCAGGAUGAACUCUGGCGGCGCGCCUAACACAUGCAAGUCGAACGGUUAAAGCACCUUUUAGGUGUGUAUAAAGUGGCGAACGGCUGAGUAACACGUGGGCAACCUGCCCUCCUCUUGGGGAUAGCCUCGGGAAACCGAGGAUAAUACCCGAUACUUCAAUGUGGCCGCAUGACGACAUUGAGAAAGCUUUUGCGGAGAAGGAUGGGCCCGCGGCCUGUUAGCUUGUUGGUGGGGUAGAGGCCUACCAAGGCAAUGAUGGGUAGCUGGGUUGAGAGACCGACCAGCCAGAUUGGGACUGAGACACGGCCCAGACUCCUACGGGAGGCAACAGUGGGGAAUCUUGCACAAUGGGCGAAAGCCUGAUGCAGCGACGCCGCGUGCGGGACGAAGGCCUUCGGGUUGUAAACCGCUUUCAGCAGGGACGAGGCGUAAGUGACGGUACCUGCAGAAGAAGCCCCGGCUAACUACGUGCCAGCAGCCGCGGUAAUACGUAGGGGGCAAGCGUUAUCCGGAUUCAUUGGGCGUAAAGCGCUCGUAGGCGGUCUGUUAGGUCGGGAGUUAAAUCCGGAGGCUCAACCUCCGUCCGCUCCCGAUACCGGCAGACUUGAGUUUGGUAGGGGAAAGGUGGAAUUCCUAGUGUAGCGGU